Molecule: ribosomal RNA, 465 nt
Filed under: uncultured Klebsiella sp.
Lineage: Bacteria; Pseudomonadati; Pseudomonadota; Gammaproteobacteria; Enterobacterales; Enterobacteriaceae
Description: bacterial SSU rRNA
Rfam family: Bacterial small subunit ribosomal RNA
Source: RNAcentral
CCUACGGGAGGCUGCAGUGGGGAAUAUUGCACAAUGGGCGCAAGCCUGAUGCAGCCAUGCCGCGUGUGUGAAGAAGGCCUUCGGGUUGUAAAGCACUUUCAGCGGGGAGGAAGGCGGUGAGGUUAAUAACCUCAUCGAUUGACGUUACCCGCAGAAGAAGCACCGGCUAACUCCGUGCCAGCAGCCGCGGUAAUACGGAGGGUGCAAGCGUUAAUCGGAAUUACUGGGCGUAAAGCGCACGCAGGCGGUCUGUCAAGUCGGAUGUGAAAUCCCCGGGCUCAACCUGGGAACUGCAUUCGAAACUGGCAGGCUAGAGUCUUGUAGAGGGGGGUAGAAUUCAAGGUGUAGCGGUGAAAUGCGUAGAGAUCUGGAGGAAUACCGGUGGUGAAGGCGGCCCCCUGGACAAAGACUGACGCUCAGGUGCGAAAGCGUGGGGAGCAAACAGGAUUAGAUACCCGAGUAGUC